GAGGCAGAGAACAGAGGUUGUGCUGCGGAGAGAGCGAGCCCUUUAAAUGCGGGUAGAAGGCGGAGCCUGAGGUGGGGCUUCCGUGGGGCGGUUACUCUGGGUGGAGCUUCGGAGCCGCGCCCGCCCCGCCCGUCGGAAUGCCCCCAUGAAGCCCCCCACUGCAGCCGUAAUGACCCGAAUCCCCGCUCUUAGGGCCCAGAAGGGGGCCAGGAGGCUCCCAGGCCCCGCUGCCUCUGCGCUAGCGCUUCAGGAAACACACCCUGGAGGGACAAAAGGCUUAUGAGUAUCUGGCGCUUGGAUGACCGCUAGGAUCCAGCCGACACGCCCUUACAAGGGACUUUCCUUCCUCAAGGCCCCUACGGGGGUUGGGGUGGAGAGGAUGGGGUCCCUGAGUCACUUAGGUUCCACCCCUUCCCCGCACCCCGCCACUCUCUGUCACCCCCACCCCGGGCUGCAGGGCUUAGGGUCACCCGGCCGCACCCUGCUCAGCAGCAGUGGAAAGUGCCCAACGUUAAGAGUGAGCCCUUCGUGAGCGCCGGGCACGCCUGAGCGCUUCGUGUGAGCAAGGCCAAGAAAGCCGCUGCCUAGCAGGGCCGCGACCCUACGCGGUCCCCUCGCAGAUCCCUGGCCCCUGGCGGGCCCUCUCAAUCUGCUAGGCCUUCGCCUGCGCACCUGAGCCGGCUGGUUCCCACCACCUCCCUGCCUGCUCUCUCGCUCCACCGCUCUACCCGGGAGGAAAUGGGGCACUGGGCCAGGAGGCCACCAGCACUCUAGGAGCAGCAGCCUUCGAAGGGGCCCAGGCGUGCCAAUGGGCACGGGCAGAGGGUGCCAUGUGAUGCGUGCAACAGCAUGUUCCCGCCUAACACCACCAUAAAGUCCACCUGGGGCCCUGGGGGCAGUUGCCUCUCUUGGUCUAAUGGCCCCUGAAUUCGGUGUUACCAGGGGUGACCAGGUCACUGGGAGGUGUAGAGGGGGCUUGAGGACAGAGGGCCAGGAAAUCAAGGGGAGUGAAUAGGGGUUGCCAAUUCUUGCUUAGGAGCCUGGGCUGUUUUCCCAGAGUACUAUGAGACUAUUUAUUGAAAGUUAAUUUUCUGGUACAUAUUCCAGAGAUGGUACAGAGAUCAGCAAAAACACAGAGUAGAAGCACAGGUAUAGAAGACACUGCAACCCUCUUCAGUCAUGAGAUGUCAACCUACCUAUGGCUUCUUCUCCAGGGUGGACUCUGUCCCUCCCAGUCCUCUGUGCCUCCCCUCUCCAGAAUGUUUCCUUCUUUUUUCCCCAGAAGGUAAAUCCUUGUCCAUACUGCUGAAUUCUAGUAAUAAUUAAUUAAUUUAUCUUCUGAAGACCAGUGGGAGAAGGAGUCAGUCAUCAUGUCAUGCCCAAAUAUGGAUGACUCUCCUUGGCUUUGGGUGUCUGCAUGCCUGUGGAGAGACUGUGAUCUCAGUGGGUAUCUCCCUUGCCUCCAAGCUUUGAGGCUGCCUGUAACUCCACUGGUUUUCCUACUAGUGGGUGGUAGGGGGCGAAAUGGCAUUUUUCAGUAGUGAGGCCCACCCCUGCACUCUCCCCUCUCUUGACCCCCAUCUUUCAUACACAGUGCACAAAAUGCACCAGAGUGUCUAAGAGCUGAGGGCUGAGGGGUGGUGACAGAAAGCCCCUAAAAAUUCCACCCCAGUGGAAAGGAAAUAUCCAGAGAUGGAAUUACAUCAAUAAUUGAUUCUCCACUAAGUACCAUCCAUCUGGGUCAUCUGGGGUUCAUUCCUUAAUCGUCAGAGAAUAAGAAAACUGAGUCAUAGUUAACUAUGGAGUGUGGAGGACAUAGGACCACCACCAGAUGUCGCCCCAUCCUAAAGCCCCCAGAUUGGGUAGCCCCAGGAAGCAAAAAUUCAGAGCUUUCAUAUUUUCCCUUAUUUGGAGUAGAUUCUUGGAUGUUAGACAUGCCCCGCCCACUUCCCCACCCCUGGCCCACAGACCCCAGGCCAGGCCCUCCCACAAGGAACUAUAUCCCCAGUGCAAGGGGCUCUUCAGCUGGGAUCCCCAAGAAGCCUUUUCUAGGCCUGUGUAGCCAGGGGGCGCCAGGAGGGAAGGAACUAGCAGAUUGGUGAGGUGAGAAGACCCAGCUGGCAAGACAAGUCAAGAUGUGACAGAAGCCCUGUGUCCUUGGGCUCCCAGACUAUGGGCACAGACAUACGUUCGUGGGUAAAUUUUGGAAGGCAGACUCUGGAUACCCUUCCCAGAUGCGUGGGACCUGAGCUCACCUAUGCGAGUUGCACCUGCCCAGGAUCUGGGCGUGCGCGAGCGCCUGCAUUUUCCAGCCUCUCCGCACACUUUCGCCACCCACCCCAGCCCAGGAGCAGCGCUGCGACAGUCCGACGUGAAGCCUUCCACAGAGGACUCACCUGCUGUCCCCUGCCAGCGGCUGACAACCGCAGGGUGGCGCCCGGCUCGCCUUCGCGCCCGUGCCCGGCGCCUCAGGGCUCUACUGGCGUCCGCCGAGCGCCGCGCGCCUCCACGCGAAUGGGCUGCCGCUGCCCGCCUUCUUGUUGGUCGCAUCCCCGCCCCGCGCCCGCCCCGCGCCAGGCCGGCCCAGCCCGGCAAGCAAGCCUUAAUUGGUAAAAUCACCCAGAAGCCGGGGGCGGUGCGGGGGGCGCGCCAUGAGCUCCAGAGCCCUGUUGCGCCUGGCGACGCCCACCCCCCACCCCCCCACCGGGAUGAGCUCACCGCCCUGCUAGGGCCGCCAGGCCCUGGGGCCGGGGGGAGGGGGCUCACCUUCAGCGUCCGAAGGGCCUGCAGAGCUCUUCUCUAGGCCCAACUUCAACGAGGCUGGAAGGCUGAGUUUAGGGGGAAUCCAAGCACUCCCCUACUGAAAAGGCCCAGCUCCAAGGCCACCUUCUCCAGAGAACCAACCAGUCAAGUCCUCUGUCUCUUCCCUAAACCUUGGCUGGCCACACAAGUCAGAUCCUGCCCCCUAGGUGAGGGGCAUCAGUAAGUAUUCACUGAGCCUCUACCAUGCUCCAGGCUCCAGUGUGGUGGACUACAGGGCACUGAGCCCUAUGAUGAGCAAGCCUCACUGGUUAGGCCCCUGCUGAGUACAGGCCUGACCUAGGAGCAAGCAGCACAGAUGCACUGAACUCCUAAUUCAAUAUGGUGCAGUCCCAAAGCCUGGAAGUGUGCAGUGGGGUACAGCCAAAGUGUCUGUGAACCUGGUGGGCACAGCCACACCCUAGCAUUGCCAGGCUUCCUCUUCCUCUUCUACAUGCCUGUUUCCUGGUAGCUUCAGAUUCAGCUAAAAUGUCACUUCCUAGGGGGAGGCCACAAAAACAAUGUCAUUUUGACAUUUUGUCUGCAACAAUCAAUAGGAGCUACAUUUUACAUUCCUGAGCCAGUAUACAUACCUUUACACACACUUACACACAUGUAUGAUUGAAACAAACAUUUCAUAAAAUGAGACUUUCCCUUAGUAUCUGCAGUGUACUCUAUUUUCUAUUCUAUUUUAUGAAAAAAAAAUGAAACAAAGGAAGAGAAGAAGGAAAAAAUAAAAGAAAGGAAAAAAUUUUUAAAAAAAGAAGAAAGAAAAGAGUUUGGUUACAUCUGCUAAGUGAAUCUGGCAAUCUUGUUUCACACAAACAGCAAGGUGCUGGUCGCCUUCCAGGCUUUCCCCAUCUGCUGCUGCCUUUACUAGCUGUGCUGUCAAUGCCAUUUCACACCUUGACUCAUUAUGGGAGCCUCCCAACAGUGCCAGGUUCUCUAGCUGCUCCCUACAUUGGAAGCCCCCACUGGGAAGGCCAGUGGAUUAACUUCACUUACUAAACAAGGAGCCUGAGCUCAGGCCCCUGAGGUAGCUGCUGUGGAGUUCAAGGCUGUCCUUCCAGGAGGAAAAACCCACCUAUCCAGAGGCAUGGCAAUCAGAGCCAGGGGUAGAAUAGAUGGGGGGAGUGCAAAAGAAGUGGUGGCUGUAUGGUGAGUCUCAGGACCCCCAUUACACUACCCUGUUUAUCCUACCCUCCCCACACUGCACAUGCUCUAAACACAAGCGGUUCUUUGCCUCAACUUCUUCCAGGUGUUGGGGGCACAAAGGUUCAUAUAGCACCAACUGUUUCCUGGUGAAGUUCAUAAUAAACUAAAAACAUUUUCU
Marmota monax (woodchuck) is the source of this 4132-nucleotide long non-coding RNA. RefSeq lists it as uncharacterized. The transcript is spliced from 2 exons. The record is from RefSeq and is a predicted model, not a curated record. NCBI's taxonomy places the organism in Eukaryota, Metazoa, Chordata, Mammalia, Rodentia, Sciuridae.